Molecule: ribosomal RNA, 496 nt
Filed under: uncultured bacterium
Lineage: Bacteria
Description: partial 16S ribosomal RNA
Rfam family: Bacterial small subunit ribosomal RNA
Source: RNAcentral
AUGAACGCUGGCGGCGUGCCUAAUACAUGCACGUCGAGCGAACGGACGAGAAGCUUGCUUCUCUGAUGUUAGCGGCGGACGGGUGAGUAACACGUGGAUAACCUACCUAUAAGACUGGGAUAACUUCGGGAAACCGGAGCUAAUACCGGAUAAUAUUUUGAACCGCAUGGUUCAAAAGUGAAGGACGGUCUUGCUGUCACUUAUAGAUGGAUCCGCGCUGCAUUAGCUAGUUGGUAAGGUAACGGCUUACCAAGGCAACGAUGCAUAGCCGACCUGAGAGGGUGAUCGGCCACACUGGAACUGAGACACGGUCCAGACUCCUACGGGAGGCAGCAGUAGGGAAUCUUCCGCAAUGGGCGAAAGCCUGACGGAGCAACGCCGCGUGAGUGAUGAAGGUCUUCGGAUCGUAAAACUCUGUUAUUAGGGAAGAACAUAUGUGUAAGUAACUGUGCACAUCUUGACGGUACCUAAUCAGAAAGCCACGGCUAACUACGUG